UGGAAAUCCGAAUUUAGGUCCUCAUACAUGGGCAGAAACCAUUAUACUUAGCCAUCACCCUAGCCCGGCUUGUACUUUUGAACAGGGUCUCGCUCUGUAGCGCAAGCCAGCUUGGAAUUCACUAAGUAAGAGACUAUCUGUGUGUACUAAACUGGGUCUUAGUCUUUCAUUUUAAUAGUCCACUUUUGAAUACACAGUAAUAGUUUCAAUUUUUUUCUCCCAACACUCACAGAAUCUUUGUGGGCAUAAAUAGAAAGGGAAAAAAAGCUGCCUGAACACACACAAGACAGGGUAUGCGCCUCUAAUCUCGGAGUUCGGGGAUCAGGGAAGUGGAUCUUUUUUAAGAUUUAUUUAUUUUGUGUAUAUGAGUGCUCUAUCUGCAUGUGUGAACAGUUAAGCGUUUAGAUGGUUGUGGACACCAUGUGGUUGCAGGGAAUUGAACUCAGGACCCCUGGAAGAGCAGACAGUGCUCUCAACUACUGAGCCAUCUCUCCAGCCACAAGUGGAUCUUUAAGAGUUAAAGGUUUGCCUGGGAAGACAUUCUUGUAAAACCAGUUUCUGGAAGCAGAGGUGGGUGAUGCUUGAUGAUGGAGCCAGUUCUGAGCAGGGAGCCUGCCCCCACGUCAGGUUAACACAGGCCUUGUUUCUGCUGUAACUGAAUCUACAUGCUCUAGGACCUGCAGGCAGAAAGGACUGCAUCACAAGGUAAAGAGGAGCCAUGUCCAGUACCUUCGCCCACAGUUCCAGGGACCCCACGCAGGGGAGCACACUAAAGAUUCAGCCGAGACGAUGAAAGUCUCCGAAGCAAGAAUGGUUUAUUCGGAUCCUUGGUCAGUUAUAUUUUGGGUUGACUUCUGGUCAUGGGUCCCAUGAUGUAUUCUGAACUUACAUCAAAAUAUAAAGCCCAGUGAUAAAACUUGAAGGAAAAAAGUUUUGUUUUUUUUUUUUUUCUUUAAAAA
This is a long non-coding RNA of Meriones unguiculatus (Mongolian gerbil), 959 nucleotides long. RefSeq lists it as uncharacterized. NCBI's taxonomy places the organism in Eukaryota, Metazoa, Chordata, Mammalia, Rodentia, Muridae. The transcript is spliced from 2 exons. The record is from RefSeq and is a predicted model, not a curated record.